This 368-nucleotide unclassified non-coding RNA is filed under the name fungal sp. RNAcentral's name for it is "partial internal transcribed spacer region". Lineage: Eukaryota; Fungi. The record is from RNAcentral.
AAGUCGUAACAAGGUUUCCGUAGGUGAACACGUAUCCAACGUUAAACUCCCCCUGUGAACUUUUAGCACUCUUGCAGCCCGUCUUCCUCCAGCAAUCCCUAGUAAAUCAUGGCGAACAGUUUGAUUUAGGGACUUCUGAGUCACGAGAAAUUCCAGUUGCAAUUGUAGCGGUAGUGCAAGCAAUCUCAGCUUCUCCUGGGUCCUUUGGUGAAUUGAAAAGUGUCAUCAGAGAUCGCCGACGAGAAGGCCCUAGAUGCUCGGGUCCCCAUGCCCCCUUACAACCCCAUGUCUUGCAGCCGGGUCGCGAUAAUACGCUUGACCUAAAAAUAAAAACCGAACAACUGUUAACAAUGGAUAUCUUGGUUCUC